CAGCCGCGGUAAUUCCAGCUCUCAAGGUGUAUAUCGCCAUUGCUGCGGUUAAAAAGCUCGUAGUUGGAUCUGCGCCUUCGGACUCGGUCCGCCCAACGGGUGUGAACUGAGAUCCAAGGCUUAUACUGCUGGUUUUCCCUUGAUGCUCUUCACUGGGUGUCUUGGGUGGCUAGCGAGUUUACUUUGAAAAAAUUAGAGUGCUUAACACAGGCUAUCGCCUGAAUACUUGUGCAUGGAAUAAUAGAAUAAGACCACGGCUCUAUUUUAUUGGUUUUCGGAACUGUGAUAAUGGUUAAGAGGGACAGACGGGGGCAUUCGUAUCGCUGCGUGAGAGGUGAAAUUCUUGGACCGCAGCGAGACGCCCUACUGCGAAAGCAUUUGCCAAGAAUGUCUUCGUUAAUCAAGAACGAAAGUCAGAGGUUCGAAGGCGAUCAGAUACCGCCCUAGUUCUGACCGUAAACGAUGCCAACUAGCGAUCCGCCGGUGGUAAUUACGCCCCGGCGGGGAGCUUCCCGGAAACGAAAGU
This 526-nucleotide ribosomal RNA is filed under the name Plectus aquatilis. RNAcentral describes it as "SSU rRNA". It matches the Rfam family "Eukaryotic small subunit ribosomal RNA", at positions 571 to 1104 of the family's 1831-position model. The record is from RNAcentral. Lineage: Eukaryota; Metazoa; Nematoda; Chromadorea; Plectida; Plectidae.